Vulpes vulpes (red fox) is the source of this 1786-nucleotide long non-coding RNA. The record is from Ensembl. NCBI's taxonomy places the organism in Eukaryota, Metazoa, Chordata, Mammalia, Carnivora, Canidae.
GCAUGAGUCUGUUUCAGGGUCCCAAAUUCCAGCAUCUUGCUCUUUAUCUAUCUCUGUACUAAUACCACGUUAUCAUAGUUCUAAUAAUUAAAAAUAAUCAUAUCUGGAAAGGAGAGUUGUCCCUUCUUGGUCUUCUUCAGGAGUGUCUUAGUUAUUUGGGGCCAUUUUUAUUCUAUAUCCAUUCAAAAUAAGCUUGUCAAGUAUUAUGAAAUACCUCAUUGACAACUGAUAGGACUUGCACUCAAUGUUUAGUAUAAUUUUAGGAAAAGUGGUAUCUUUAUUAUAUUUUCCUCUAAGUAGACACAACUGUUCUCUCUUCUGUGGUCCUUUAUCACUCUCACCUUUCUUCAAUGUCUUUCAAUAAGCUUUAAUAAUUUCUCCCAUUAAAAUCUUGCAAAUUUGUUAAAUUUCUGCCUAAAAACUUUAUAUCACUGUGACUGCUGUAAAUAGCAUCUUUUGAAAAAUUAUGUUUUAAACUAGUUGUGUGUGUGGGUAUGUUGCAUUAGAUCACGCAGAGCAAGCUACCGUGACAAAGACGCCAAAGCGGUGUGAGGGCUGUUCACAAAACGGUACUUGGCACGUGCGCAGAAUGGAGGCAGGCCCUCCUUCACGCCUUUCCCUGGGCCCCGGGCUGCCCUGGGCCCUAGUGUCCUCAGCACGUGGCUCCCACGGUCGCCCGGGGAAUUCACUGCACCCAGGCAGAAGGGAAAGGAGCUUGCAGAAACAGUGCUGGGAGGCUUUGAAGGCCCUGGCUGUAGAUGGCGUGUAUCACUUUUGCUUUUAUUUUGAUGAUCAGAAGUAGGCACAGAGCCGCCGGACUGCUGGUGGCCGGGAGUAUGAGCAGCGGAGCCUGUGCCUAGAAGGCCAGGGCCCAGAAACCCUUCACUCCUGAAGUGGGGACACGCGGUUCUGCUGAGGACAUCCCUGUGUCUGUCGGAGAGAGUGAGAGAACUGCUCGUUCCACCCCCAAGGUCGCUCUAAAAGGGACUUCAGACUGAUGAGCGACAGGGGGCCAUGGACGGGCUCCGUGCCAGUUCCCGCGACGGGGCAUCCACUACACAAACCGUGCGUGUUGCCUCCAGUUCCUCAGCCACUAGGACCGUCCCAUGUCCAUCCCCAGGCCUCCCGGGGACCAGGCCAGGCCGCCUGUACCCGUGAGCUCCCCCGAGGCCGCGGACUAGAGGGCCCUGGGAGACAGCAGGGAAGCACCCGGAAGGGGGCCAUGCCAGCUCCCGUAAGGCAGCCGUCCCCAGGCCUACCCUCGGAGCCCGAGGCCGUGCGGGAAGUUCGGCCAUCCUGAGGAGGAGCCGGCUUGCAGAGCAGAGGGCCUGGGACUCCUGGGACCCCCAGCCUCAUCCAGCGGCCUGCUGACUUCCAUCUGGCGACCAGCCAACACUCGCAGGGGAAGAAUCGCCCCCUUGAGCUCUGCCCGAGUCCCUGACUCGCGAAAUUGUGAGUUUGGUUGGGGAAUGAAAGGCCUGGAAUGAGUGAUUUAUCACGGCAACGAGGCCUUGUAACACUGUGAGGGAAGCCAGAGAUGAAGUCUAGAAGGGAUGGUUGAGGAUCAGAGAAGUCACUAACUAGGAUCACGAAGGGGCAAAAAAAAUCUAAGUGUCUCAGUCUGUCUAGAUUUCUGGAAUGAAAUACAACAGACUGGGGAUCCCUGGGUGGCGCAGCGGUUUAGCGCCUGCCUUUGGCCCAGGGCGCAAUCCUGGAGACCCAGGAUCGAAUCCCACAUCGGGCUCCCGGUGCAUGGAGCCUGCUUCUCCCUCUGCCUGUGUCUCUG